RNAcentral lists this long non-coding RNA (5525 nucleotides) under Sus scrofa (pig). Its description in RNAcentral is "lncRNA (ENSSSCG00040075060.1)". Lineage: Eukaryota; Metazoa; Chordata; Mammalia; Artiodactyla; Suidae. The record is from RNAcentral.
UUUUUUUUUUUUUUUUUUUUUUUUUGAGGUAGGUCUAUUACUACCUUAGCAAUGGAUUGGAGUGUUUGGCAGUAGGUCUGCUAAAGCAAAUACAAGUAAUGAUUUUCUCUUUUUUAGAGCUUUAGGGCAAGAGCUCUCUUUAGAGGAAGAUAACAAAAAUUCAGGGGCAUAAAAUAUCCUCUUAAUGCUACAUAAGAUUUCAUCUCUUUGAGCUACUUAGAAAAUAUUAAACAUAGAUCCAAACUGUGUAGGAGUUCAUUAUCACAUGAACUGUUUCAGUAUAACCUUGCCACUUAUCUGUCUCAGCCAGCAUUCUAAGCAAGAGGAAGAUAAGGCUCUUGUCCAUCAUGUUUUCAACAAUAAGUCCAGAAUCUAGUACUAUGUCUGGAAUAUUUAACACGCUGUUGCUGAAUGAAUCAAUAUUAUAGUGUAUUUGUGUGAAAAGGAAAUCUGGUUUAGCAUCUGCUUCAUUGUCCUAGUAUGAUGUAUGUAUCAUGAUCUGCAUAUGGAAAUGAGUAGCUAUUGUGCUUUGCUUCCUGAAUUUUAUGUUUAAACUGUAAAUUUUGUAUAUAAUAUUAAUAUUUUAUGUAUUUUAUAGGGAUCUGUGGAUAUAUUAAUUUUUGACAAACAGCAAUCUCAAUACACAUUUAGAUCAUAAAUUUUGGAAGAAUGUUUCCUUUAGUGCUGCCUGAAGACAUUUCAAUUGUUGGCAAUAGAAAACUUUUUCCCAAAGCACGUUUAGCCCAGAUUCCCUAUCUAAAAACACAAAAACAGAUAUGUAUUAACAGUAAUUCACAAAAAAAGUCAAUUAAAAUGUUUUAGAAAAAUAAGCAAAUAAAAUAUCCUCACAAUAAAAAAUAUGUAAAUCAGGUUUGAAAGCAAGAGACCAUGUGGCAGGUUGUAGUCUAUUUCAGCCAGGAGGGAAUUCAUAACUCUAAUGCUAUCCAGCACUUUCAAAUUUAAUUUCUAUAAGUUAUCUUUAUUUUAUCAAUAUAUAAAAUCUGGAUAAAAUCUACUUUUUAAGACUUAGAAGAAAUGUAAUUUAUUUCCUGCAGCUUUUCCUGCUUCCCCAUUUUUCAUAUCAUUUUUAUAUUGCCUACUUCUAAAUAUUUGUUCAUUCUCUGAUAAUCAUAUAUUUUUAAAAUUUAACCCACAAUAUAAUGAAUCAUUUUUCUUCUUCAACCCUCUUCCAUUCCCAUACAUACUAUAAACUUGCACAGGUUAUUAUCAGAGUCCUGCUUACUUUAUUUUUCUUUUUCUUAUCUCUCAUAAUCUCAGAACUUUUACAGAAGCCAAAGUUAAGUUGGUGGAAUUUAAUGAUUUCUGAAAAAAGAAACUGUGAAAAAAUUAAACAAUGCUAGUAUUAAUGCUAAUAAAAUAAAAAUAAUAAAAAUUUUACAUGACUAAUUAGGGUUGCAAUCAGUUAUUUAAAGUUAAAAAAUUAAAAUUAUUAUUUUAUGUGUUAGACAUAAUACUCAUAAUUAGAAAGAAAGCUUUCGCUACUUUUUUUUGUAGUGGUAUAAGUUUUACUUCAAAAUAGACUCUCUGAAAAUAAUAGGUAAACAAAAAAAAAACUUGAACAAGCUCUGUGAAUUUGCAAUAGAGCACAUUACUAAUCACACACCAGUUUCAUAUGUGCCAUAUCUUCUAUAUAUGGUGCACAGGUACCUCUGCUGUAUAACACCAGCAAUAUGACUUAAGUUCUAAACUGACUGGUCUCCAUUACUGAUUUUGGUGCUUUAAGUUAUUUUAUAUUGUGUGAAAAAAACAAGAUUUAGCUGUCCAAAGGACAGAAAUACACUUGAGUGCCUUAGCAAUACCCCAUCCCAUUAACCUGGACAACUGAGCCAUGGGAAAGCUCAUGUCCUCACAAUGAAUACACUUACCUCUAGGAAACUGUCAGAUAUUUAAUACAGCAAGCAGGAGAUAGCACUAAAUCAGUACAUUUUUCUGCAAGGAUUUUGGUACAGGCUCUGACCUGUACCAAUAUCCAAUUCUACUUUUUUUUUUUGUCAUUCUUUCCUAAUCUCCUUAUCUCUUGUAUUGUCUUUGCUUUAUUCUCCUUCCAUAGCCUAUCACUGAGAAACCUCAGGGAAAGUCAAAUUACUGACUCCAAUUUCAGAUUUCAUAAUAUUAAAAUAUGAAACCUACAUUUCAAUGUUUAAGUCACAUAUGACAUUGAUGCAAAAUUAACUAAUAAUCUGUGACCAAUCCAUGUUGAUGAUUUAUCAGACUAAAAAUUGGAAUCCAUUACAUUUUCUUAAUAGCAGGGAGAGACUGUAAUAUAUGAGUCAAUCAUGGGAUACUCAUUUCAAAAUAUUCACAAUAUUAUAUUUUAAGAAUAUUAAAAUCAUAAAAGUUAUUUAAUUCUGCUGUUUUGUUGAAGAAGAGCUACUGAAGCCAUCUUUGGGUUGUCAAAUUAUAGAUUUUUAAACUUUAAACAUUAUACAGAAUUUUAAUAUAAUUAUUUUACUUCAUAGAGUAGGAAACUGGAGUCCAGACAUGUUAAAUAUCUUACACAUUGCUUUGCAAGUAGAGUAUGAGCUGUGUCUAGAAUCCUAAGUCUGUUUGGCCUCCGACUAUUUUGAUUAUGGUGGAGUUGUUUUGAGAACAAUCUUUUUAUUGUAUUUUUCAAAAAGGCAAAUAUAUAUUAUAAAACAUGUUUUAAAAAACAGAAAAAAGUAUGUAUAAUUUCAAAAAUUAUACAUUCAGAUAUAAUCAUAGUCUAUGUUUAAUAUUUUCCCCAAGGUUUUUUGAAGUGAUAAGACAAACAUGUUCCUGUUACUUGAGAGAAACAAUUUUUUUGCAGUUUCCUCAGGAUGAGUCAUCAGAUACAAGAAACUUUCUAUAUUGACUUAUUUGAGUCUAAAGUUUUUAUCUUGCUCUCUUUUACCAUGAAUUUAUAUUGUCACAUCUGGCCCAUCUCAUGAUGGCAGUAAUGGAGAUUUGCAGAUGUGGAGUAUUUAAAAAUGGUUGGUAAAAAGCCAUUAAUUAAGCAAGGAAAAGAACACUACUUGGAUGCAUUAUUAUAAAUAAAUAAAAUUUAAAACAUUUUAUGUUAAGGAAGAUUAACGUUAAGUAAUUCUACAACAUAUGAUUUUGUUAAUUUUUUAAUUCUUUUAAAUGAUUUUGUUUAUGUCAGUAAAAGUAAUCUGUAUGCUUAGGUGAGAUUUUUAAAAAGUAUUUACAAGUCCCAAUUUUUUAGAUAUUAAACUUUAAGCACCUGCAAGCAAUAGCAAGGCUCAGAAAAAAGGCAACUCCAUAAAGGGCUGAUCAUAUUUAUAGUAAAUCUGGCAUAUGAUCAACAUUAUACCCCAUAAAUAUAGUACAUAAAUUAUUUGGAGGUGAUGACAUAAGUAUAAUAAAUCAUAACAUAAAUCAUCAUUUUCCAGUCUACAUUUGAGAUGUUGUUACUAUGGAGGAAAAUUCAUAUCAUCUCUUACCUCAUGAAUGAUACCUCAUGAAUAAGGGAAAAUGACUUAAAAUUCUUAGCCUUUUUUUUUUUUUUGGUUAGGUUUAUUCUUUUUUUUAAGAUAAUUAUUGAAAUAACAUUCACAUAUCAUAUAAUUCACCCAUUUAAAGUAUACCAUUCAGUGCUUUUUAGUAUAUAUUCAUAGUUGCUCUACCAUGAGCACAAUGGAUUUUAGAACAUUGCUGUCACCUCCUCGCCCCCAAAGAAACCCUAUUGAAACCCCUCUGUCUAUCAGUCUUCAAUCCUCCAUCCCCCAUCCUCAGGCAAUUACUAAUCUAUUCUUUGUUUCUACUGUCAACCUUUCCCAUAAAUAGGAUCAUACAGUGUCUUGAUAUAUUAGGACUGCUGUAACAAAAUACCACAGACUGGGUAGCUUAUAAACAAUAAAAAAAUUAUUUUUCACAGUUCUGGAGCCUGGAGAUCCAAGAUGAGGGUGUUCGCAAGACCAAAUGAGGGUCCUCUUUCUGGUGGCAGCCCUGGUACCCUCACAUGGUAGAAGGGUUAGGGAGUUUUCUCUGGUCUCUUUUACAAGAGCCCUAAUCCCAUUCAUGAGCAGUCUGCCAUGGUGACCUAAUCACCUCCCAAAGGUCCCACCUCCUAAUAAAAUUACAUUGGGCAUGAAGGUUUAAACAUAUGAAUAUGUGGAACACAAAAUGUGCAGACCAAGGACCACAUGGUCCUUUAUGAGUAGCUACUUUCACUUAGCAAAAUGUUUUCAAGGUCCAUCCAUGUUGUAGCAUGUAUCAAUACUUUAAUACUUCAUUUCUCUCUCUGUAUUUUUUUUUAGGGCCACACCCACGGCAUAUGGAGGUUCCCAGGCUAGGGGUUGAACUGGAGCUACAGCUGCCGGUCUACACCACAGCUACAGCAACACAGGAUCUGAGCCGUGUCUGUGACCUACACCACAGCUCAUGGCAUCAUAUCCCUCAUCCACUGAGUGAGGCCAGUGAUUGAACCGGCAACAUCAUGGUUCCUAAUCAGAUUCAUUUCCAAUGUGUUACAAUGAGAACUCCACAAUACUUCAUUUCUCUUAAUGGUUGAAAAAUAUUCAAUUGGGCAAAAGUUUUAUUUAUUUAUUCAUCAACUGAUGGACAUUUGAAUUGUUUCAUCUUAAGCGUUUCUAAAAUCAACAUUUUAAUUUACUUAUAUAAAGUUAAAUCUUCACCCUCACAUCAUGCACAAAAAUAAACUCCAAAUGGCUGAAAGACUUAAAUAUACGACAGGACACCAUCAAACUCCUAAAAGAGAACAGAGGCAAAACACUCUCUGACAUCAACCUCAUGAAUAUUUUCUCAGGUCAGUCUCCCAAAGCAAUAGAAAUUAGAGCAAAAAUAAACCCAUGGGACCUCAUCAAACUGAAAAGCUUUGGCACAGCCAAGGAAAUCCAAAAGAAAACAAAAAGACAACUUUCAGAAUGGGAGAAAAUAGUUUCAAAUGAUGCAACCAACAGGGGCUAAAUCUCUAGAAUAUAUAAGCAACUUAUACAACCCAACAGCAAAAAAGCCAAUCAACCAAUGCAAAAAUGGGCAAAAGACCUGAAUAGACUGUUCUCCAAGGAAGAUAUACAGACGGCCAACAAACACAUGAGAAAAUGCUCAACAUCGCUGAUUAUAAGAGAAAUGCAAAUCAAAACUACCAUGAGAUACCACCUCACACCAGUCAGAAUGGCCAUCAUUAAGAAGUCCACAAAUAACUAGUGCUGGAGAGGCUGUGGAGAAAAGGUAACCCUCCUGCACUGCUGGUGGGAAUGUAAACUGGUACAGCCACUAUGGAGAACAGUUUGGAGAUACCUUAGAAAUCUAUACAUAGAACUUCCAUAUGAUCCUGCAAUCCCACUCUUGGGCAUCUAUCGGGACAAAACUCUACUUAAAAGAGACACAUGCACCUGCAUGUUCAUUGCAGCACUAUUCACAAUAGCUAGGACAUGGAAACAACCCAAAUGUCCAUCAACAGAUGAUUGGAUUUGGAAGAAGUGGUACAUAUACGCAAUGGAAUACUACUCAGCCAUAAAAAAUGACAUAAUGUCAUUUGCAGCAACAUGGAUGGAACUAGA